GACGAACGCUGGCGGCGUGCUUAACACAUGCAAGUCGAACGGAAAGGCCCUGCUUUUGUGGGGUGCUCGAGUGGCGAACGGGUGAGUAACACGUGAGUAACCUGCCCUUGACUUUGGGAUAACUUCAGGAAACUGGGGCUAAUACCGGAUAGGAGCUCCUGCUGCAUGGUGGGGGUUGGAAAGUUUCGGCGGUUGGGGAUGGACUCGCGGCUUAUCAGCUUGUUGGUGGGGUAGUGGCUUACCAAGGCUUUGACGGGUAGCCGGCCUGAGAGGGUGACCGGCCACAUUGGGACUGAGAUACGGACCAGACUCCUACGGGAGGCAGCAGUGGGGAAUAUUGCACAGUGGGCGGAAGCCUGAUGCAGAAACGCCGCGUGCGGGAUGACGGCCUUCGGGUUGUAAACCGCUUUCGCCUGUGACGAAGCGUGAGUGACGGUAAUGGGUAAAGAAGCACCGGCUAACUACGUG
RNAcentral lists this ribosomal RNA (468 nucleotides) under uncultured bacterium. Its description in RNAcentral is "partial 16S ribosomal RNA". It matches the Rfam family "Bacterial small subunit ribosomal RNA", at positions 28 to 507 of the family's 1533-position model. The record is from RNAcentral.